GGUGAUGGUGGUCUGGGCAUGUGGGGUUUUUUUCCUUGGAGGGAGAUGGCAGGUUGGGAAGUAUGGUAUGAAAUAUGGUUAUGGGUGGUAACUUUUUUGCUGCUGUUGUUGUUGUUGUUGGCAGUGGUGGUGGAUAGGGCAGACGCAAAUUAUGGGGUUGACGGUGGCGGGACUUCCCUUCUCUACUCUUCUCUAUUUGUGUUUGUUUAGGUUUGCUGAUAUUAAGUGUGAGGGGAUAAAAUAUACAAUUAUGUCACUUGGCCUUACUAAGGCAGAGACCUCAGACGGGUUGUCGCUAGUGAAGAAGCUCGGUCAACCCUGCACCGGAGUUCGGUUCACAUUCGAUGGAACGCCGACCUUGCUAGGGCAAUGGUCUCCACCGAGCUGCCGAGACCUGCGGGCUUGGAGAUCUUCUGCGCUAGAGCUCGGUGUAGUCGCGAAUAAAGGUACCAUCCGAGCCAAAGCUUUCGUUACAUCAUAGGUGCCGCUGGUCAACGAGUUUGGAACAAUAACUGUGUUAGAAACUUGGAUGAAGGAUGAC
Molecule: long non-coding RNA, 541 nt
Filed under: Actinidia chinensis (golden kiwifruit)
Lineage: Eukaryota; Viridiplantae; Streptophyta; Magnoliopsida; Ericales; Actinidiaceae
Description: long non-coding RNA (ACHI_LNC003598)
Source: RNAcentral